CUCUUAUCCCGAGCUGGUGGAGGGACAGGCCCGAUGAAACCCAGCAACCUGCUAAUGAUGCUUUUGAAAACGGAUAUAUGCUGAAAAGAGCAUAACGGUUCAAAUUACCAGCCAGCAAUGGUCUGUUUUUAGCAAAGGUGCUAACCUGACGCAAGGAAGAUUCCUUGAACGAUAAGAG
RNAcentral lists this non-coding RNA (178 nucleotides) under Bacillus infantis. Its description in RNAcentral is "SAM-I sequence". It matches the Rfam family "SAM riboswitch aptamer (S box leader)". From Rfam's summary of the family: The SAM riboswitch is found upstream of a number of genes which code for proteins involved in methionine or cysteine biosynthesis in Gram-positive bacteria. The SAM riboswitch acts at the level of transcription termination control. The predicted structure consists of a complex stem-loop region followed by a single stem loop terminator region. Lineage: Bacteria; Bacillati; Bacillota; Bacilli; Caryophanales; Bacillaceae. RNAcentral also lists the same sequence under 1 other name. The record is from RNAcentral.